Molecule: transfer RNA, 58 nt
Filed under: Mesocricetus auratus (golden hamster)
Lineage: Eukaryota; Metazoa; Chordata; Mammalia; Rodentia; Cricetidae
Rfam family: tRNA
About the family: Transfer RNA (tRNA) molecules are approximately 80 nucleotides in length. Their secondary structure includes four short double-helical elements and three loops (D, anti-codon, and T loops).
Source: Rfam by way of RNAcentral
UAGCUCAGUGGUUAAGAGCACUGGCUGCUCUUUCAGAGGUCCUGGGUUCAAUUCCCAG